This 253-nucleotide ribosomal RNA is filed under the name uncultured bacterium. RNAcentral's name for it is "partial 16S ribosomal RNA". It matches the Rfam family "Bacterial small subunit ribosomal RNA", at positions 524 to 776 of the family's 1533-position model. The record is from RNAcentral.
UACGUAGGUGGCAAGCGUUAUCCGGAUUUAUUGGGUGUAAAGGGCGUGUAGGCGGGAAUGCAAGUCAGAUGUGAAAACUAUGGGCUCAACCCAUAGCCUGCAUUUGAGACUGUAUUUCUUGAGUGCUGGAGAGGCAAUCGGAAUUCCGUGUGUAGCAGUGAAAUGCGUAGAUAUACGGAGGAACACCAGUGGCGAAGGCGGAUUGCUGGACAGUAACUGACGCUGAGGCGCGAAAGCGUGGGGAGCAAACAGG